GCGGAAGUGGCUCAGUGGUAGAGCAUCUCCUUGCCAAGGAGAGGGUCACGGGUUCGAAUCCCGUCUUCCGCUCCA
Molecule: transfer RNA, 75 nt
Filed under: bacterium
Lineage: Bacteria
Also listed under: 3 other names
Description: tRNA-Gly
Rfam family: tRNA
About the family: Transfer RNA (tRNA) molecules are approximately 80 nucleotides in length. Their secondary structure includes four short double-helical elements and three loops (D, anti-codon, and T loops).
Source: RNAcentral